UGGGACCCUAGUGGCGGACGGGUGAGUAACGCGUGGGUAACCUGCCCCAUACCGGGGGAUAACACUUAGAAAUAGGUGCUAAUACCGCAUAAGCGCACGGUACUGCAUGGUACAGUGUGAAAAACUCCGGUGGUAUGGGAUGGACCCGCGUCUGAUUAGCUUGUUGGCGGGGUAACGGCCCACCAAGGCGACGAUCAGUAGCCGGCCUGAGAGGGUGGACCGGCCACAUUGGGACUGAGACACGGCCCAAACUCCUACGGGAGGCAGCAG
This 270-nucleotide ribosomal RNA is filed under the name uncultured bacterium. RNAcentral's name for it is "partial 16S ribosomal RNA". It matches the Rfam family "Bacterial small subunit ribosomal RNA", at positions 85 to 354 of the family's 1533-position model. The record is from RNAcentral.